AGUACUUUUUUUUGUUACUUUUAGGUAAGCCUAUUCAAAAAUUGUUUUUAAUUAUUUAUUUACACAAGAUUUGGUUAUGAUUUCAGGUCAUUUUAUUUCAAAGAUGAUUCGGUUGCAUAAUUAGCAAAUUAUUUUUCAUAAGCUAAUUUUCUACAGCCCUCAUCACAAAGCAAAAAACGAUUUUUCCAAAGUUAAUUUUCUGCAGCCCUCGUCACAUAACAAAAAAGAUUUUUCUUGAUAUCUCGAGUUUCUGGAGCAUUUAUUUCCAUAAAGAAAAAAAUAUUUCUUUCUCCAGAAGGACUCGCAAGGAUAUGAAGAUUAUGUUCUGAAAAAAAUUGAAAAUAAACUUAAUUUUAGUUUAUUUUAA
Molecule: non-coding RNA, 367 nt
Organism: Onthophagus taurus
Lineage: Eukaryota; Metazoa; Arthropoda; Insecta; Coleoptera; Scarabaeidae
Source: RefSeq, a predicted model, not a curated record